Apis florea (little honeybee) is the source of this 520-nucleotide long non-coding RNA. NCBI's taxonomy places the organism in Eukaryota, Metazoa, Arthropoda, Insecta, Hymenoptera, Apidae. The record is from RefSeq and is a predicted model, not a curated record.
UCUUAUUUAUUACCAUUUUAUCGAGGAAAAGAAGAAUCUAAAAAAAUAUAAACUCCAAGCAGCGACAUCAAACUAUAAACGGUUUCUCACGAUGCAUUUCUAUGAAAUAUUUCUCUCAAGUAACCGGUCAUAACCAUAACGCAAAAAAUGGUAAGAACUCGGAGUAAAUCUUUCCUAGCUAGAAAAGAGUUUAAGAGUUUCUAUUCUGCCGGACGAUUUGUUUUCCUACGUCCUGGUUGCUUCAGACCGGCCGAUUUACCUCCACCAAGUAUCGUUGCCGGUUCGCGUUUCACGUGUCGUUAACCAUGUCCCGCUUUCGACGAUUGUACAAGAUCCAACCUCUAUUAGAGACGUGCUUUUUUCGCGAACGAGUUGCCCGAUUAAUCGACCGGUGUUGGCCGGUCGUUCGAUAUCCAAGGGAAAAAUGGAACGGGCACGCAAUUCGUGAAAGACGAUUGUCCAUUUCGAAUGUGUUCUACGCGAGACACAUAAAAGGAAGACAAGUUUGAAAAUUUAGAUA